CUGCGGUCCAAGGGUCUCCUUAAAAAGCAGAAUUCCAUUGUAAUACCAUUUUCACUAUCCGAGAAGUCGUUCUUGGAGAAGUACGUGAUGAAGCACCUGGAACAAGUUCCGCAUCUGAUGGAGAUAUACAGGGCCUCUGCUGCCACGUGAAGAGUUAUCUGGUAGAAAAUCAGUGACUUCAAUUUAUCGCUUGCCCACAAGUUGAUUGUUGGAUUGUCAGCAAUGUCUAUCUUGAUCAGAAGCUUGGUUGAAUGUUCGCAUCAAAGCAGGAGGGUAAUUGAGACUUCUGAUUUACUUGCGGCAUCUAUCUGGUGAUUCCUCUGCCGGUUGAAUCGCAUGGCACAAUCGGGUGAUGGUAAACACCUUGCAAACAUCAGUUUUGCACGUAAGAACAGGGUUUCAAGAAAGGCGGUAUGAUUAACUGCUCUCUGCUGUUGAAGAAAUGCACUGCAUCUGAAUCUGCUAACAUCAUGCUCAGGACACGUCUGUCAUGAGGGAAUGCUUGUGAAUGAGAGUCACGGCAGUCUCCAAGACGAUGUCCUGUUGAAGGACAAGAUGUAAGAACUCCAUCUUCUUUGGUUGAUUCAAGGAGAAACUGUGUCAUUAUGAGGUUUCUUGCAAUGCAGUCAACUCGCCCAUGAAAGGGGAAACCCAUUGUGGCAUUCCCUGCAUUGUUGUGUAUCAGGCAUGAUUAACGUUCAACAAUAGCCAAUCUGCUUAUGAACUUGUGCUUUUUGAGGGCAUAGCCAGCGUUCUCUGCAGUCACAAAUUCACAAUCCACCAAAACCUUCACCAUCACCUUCCACUCUAGAAGAAGAGGUCCAUCCCAUGUCCAUUUGUUCGCAUCUACCUGAGCUGAUCGCCAGGUUGGGGAUCCUGUCUGCUCAAUGGCAGCUUGAUAAAUAACUGUCGUGUCAAUCUGGGAUGCAACUUGAAAUAACCUGGUAAGAUUGGGAAACUGGACUUUGUUGAUUCUGUGCCUUUUUGGCUGAUACUUCGCUAGUCAUUUCCUCUCUCUGACAUUACUGUACUCGGAAAAGGUCAGUCCAUAUCUCCUGGCAUUGGGCAUCAGGAAUUGGGAUUGCCACUUUGUCUCGAGAAGCUUUACAGUUUUCCUUCUCUCUCAUAUGCAGUGGUGUUGUCUAUGAAUGAGGCGUGGGGCAGUAUGCUAACGAUGAUGUGAGUCGCUCCAGUUGGCUGUAGUAAUUGGAAUUUGGAAAUUUUUGGAUGCUCGCUCUUUUCUGGCAUUUUUAUGGGGGAAAAGGUGGUAAGUGAAGAGAUCCAACAUUGGUUAUCAUGGGCAAUGCCAAGUUUUCUAAGUUCACAGUUGAUACAUUCCUUUGGGCUUCAGCAUUGGGGAGGCCCUUGAGAAUGGCAAAGAAGUUUUCUGGGAUGCCUAAAUUGCAUGAACUUAGAAGGGUUUCUCGUGAAACACUCGAAGUCUAAACACAUGAAGGAAAUGUUACUCCCAUGCUCGAUGUAAUGCAUUGUUUUGCUAAACCACACCUUGUGUAUCACGAGUUUUAAGUAUUUGUCUGCCUUCAGAGACUCGAUGAAAAUUGCUCUUGCAACUGGGGAGAAAGAUUGUAUUUCUUGUUGCAGGAUCCAUGAUUGAACAUGGAGGGUACUGGUGCACAUGUUAUGGAGACUCAGAAUUCUGCACGACAUUUUCUUCUGUAGCGAUAUGAGCAGGACUUCUACGUUCUAUUGAAUCUUGAUCACUGAUCACGAACAUGCUGAUGGACCUGCCUCCAUAGAAUAUAUUGAUCCAUGAAAGGUACGCUCAGGGCAUGCUCUGAGGCGGCAUGGUUGAGUUCUCGUUGAUAGUUCGAAUCCAUUGUUAGACUGAAAAGAAUAUGGCCCUACUUAGCAUUAAGCGUCAUUUUUCCAAGCCAGCGGCUGUAUAUGGAAGGGAGAUGAAAGGUUGGAGAUAAACUGAUUAAUGAAGGUUGUUUUGAUUUGUGAACAAGUUGCUUGUUUGCUUCUCACAAACUUCUCAACAAUUGCGGCAUACUACUACCAUGACUCACGAAUGAUCGCCUGUAUUGGUUGAGAAGCUUUUUUAAUCAGUCCUACUCUAUACCUUUCUAUAUGUACCUUUAUAGCCUUUUGGAGAAGUUGCUAAUGUUAUUUUCGCGUAGUAUCUACUAACAAACACGUGCAAUUACUGUCACGAUGGUGAAUUUUUCGGACCUUUGUAGCAUCAAAGUCAUAGUCUAAUACUUGAAUAAAAAUUGCUAAGUAGGAAUCGAAAAUUGCUAAGUAGAAAACGAGAAUAUAACUAUCCAAAGCAAUAUACAAAUACGAAAUUUACUAUCACCAGAUAAAUUUUUCGUGACUAAUAACAAAUGGGAAUUUGCUAAUGCGUGUAUGUAGGUACUGACUUUGUUUGAACAUUGAUAGACGCCUUUUUAAUUUCAAAGGCAUACUCUACGUUGACAGCACUUUAUUAUUUAAAUUAAAAAGCCAUCAAAUGUCAUAUGUCGUACUAAGUAACAGAAUGGGUCUAUAAAGAACUAGGAAGUAAUGUAGGCGAAUGCUGUGUGGGUGAGGAUUAUUUUUGUGAAAGUAAUCACAAAAAAUCCAAAAUUAUGGUCACUAUUAUAAAUUUAUCUUGAACUUUUUUUUUUAUAGAAUUUAUACUUAUGCCACAUUACACAUUUAUUAAUUUUUCCAACUUAAACGAUUUCAUUUUUAUUUCACUUAAAUUACGUGUGUGCGUCACGUCAAUAUCGUUUUUCUUUGGUGUUCAUUAAUGUAAUCGAGAUGGAUGAUAAACAUAUCAAACGGUAACAAAAUUUUGGGAUUUUUGACAUUAUAAAAAAGUAGAGGAUAAAUAUAUGGGUAUAAUUUCGAAUAUUUGAUUGAUUUUUUAAGAAAGGACGAAGAAAGAAGAGAGAGAGAGAGACGUUCGACGGCUGCGCAUCGCCGCAUUGGUAGAACCCUAUAAACCGAACCCGAAUCGCACCUAAAUCCACAAAGCAGAGGAAGAGCCAGCGACGAUGGAACAUCAAAUGUUCGAAUCGCACAUCGGAGGGACAGUAACUUCUCACUGUCGCCGACCGAGGUGAGUUCGACUUCCAUUCCGCUCGAAUCCGCGAGCAUUUCGGCUCCUCGAAAUGUUCAACGUUUCGGUUAAAAAUCUCUUCUUGUUCGCCCGAAAACGCUCUCUGGCAACCUUGGCCACGCUCCUUGAACCUCCGAAAUCGUCUUCGUCUUCGUGCUCUUCGUCGCCGUUGAUUGAUUAUCUCGUGAAAUCGCUCGAUCUUCCUUUGGAAUCUGCUGUUUCCAUCUCCCAGAGACUCCGUUGCCACCGAAAUGGCGUCGAAAGAGCCGAUUCCGUGGUCGGGUUCCUGCGUUCCUCCGGAUUCGGCAAAGCGCAGAUCGCGAAAUUGGUCACCAAUGGACCGACGCUCCUCCGGUCGAAUGUGGAAUCGAAUCUCAAGCCCAAGUUGGAGUAUUUCCGCGAGAUUGGGUUAUCACAAUCGGUCUUGCUCGGUGCCAUAGCUGGGAACAGUAGCUUCUUUGGUAGAAGCUUGAAUUCGUUCUAUAAGCCGCAGAUUGAUUUCCUCAUGAAGUGUCUGAGGACCUCCACCGCGUUGGAUAUUGCGAUCAAGCGCUGUUCUUGGCUUUUGACUGCCGACCGCAGGUAUGUUUUGGAACCUAAUAUCGAUCUCUUGAUGAGGGAGGGAGUGAGAUUCGAUGAUGUAGUGCUUCUGAUGCUCUAUCAACCUAAGACAUUAGUGAUGAAGGUUGAGAAGAUGGCUGCUUUUGUUGAAUCCGUUAAAGGUCUUGGAAUGGAACCGUCCUCUCCGAAAUUCAUACAUGGUCUCAGGGUGAUGUCGUCCAUGAAGGAGUCGACUUGGCGUGAGAAGGUAGAGAAUUUCAAGAGUUUGGGUUGGUCUCAAGAGGAGUGCCGGUCCAUGUUUGCUCGUCGCCCGCUCUGUUUGGCUCUUUCCGGAGAGAAUAUUAGGAGGACAGUGGAUUUUUAUCUAAAUACCGCGUCAAUAGCUCGGGAGGUUAUUGUCGGUCAGCCUGUACUUCUUAAGUAUUCAGUAGAGAAGAGGCUUCGACCAAGGCAUAGUGUGAUUACGGUUCUGCAGUCCAAGGGUCUCCUUAAGAAGCGGAAUUCUAUUGUAGUACCGUUUAAAAUAUCCGAGAAGUCGUUCUUGGAGAAGUACGUGAUGAAGCACCUGGAACAAGUUCCGCAUCUGAUGGAGAUAUACAGGGCAUCUGCCGCCGCAUGAAGAGUUUAUCAGGUAGAAGAUCAGGGAUUUCAAUUUAUCGCUUCUGCACGAGUUGAUUGUUGGAUUGGCAGUAUUGUGUAUCUUGAUCAGAAGCUUGGUUGAAUGUUGGCAUCAAAGCAGGAGGGUAAUUGAGACUUCCGAUUUACUCGUGGCAUCUAUUGGGUGAUUCC
RNAcentral lists this long non-coding RNA (4417 nucleotides) under Eucalyptus grandis. Its description in RNAcentral is "long non-coding RNA (EGRA_LNC004478)". The record is from RNAcentral. Lineage: Eukaryota; Viridiplantae; Streptophyta; Magnoliopsida; Myrtales; Myrtaceae.